RNAcentral lists this microRNA precursor (78 nucleotides) under Salmo salar (Atlantic salmon). RNAcentral's name for it is "mir-27 microRNA precursor family". It matches the Rfam family "mir-27 microRNA precursor family". RNAcentral also lists the same sequence under 2 other names. Lineage: Eukaryota; Metazoa; Chordata; Actinopteri; Salmoniformes; Salmonidae. The record is from Rfam by way of RNAcentral.
UGAAGAUACAGAACUUAGCUUAUUGGUGAGCAUUGAGCUAAAAUGAUUUGUUCACAGUGGCUAAGUUCAGUGUCUGGA